Molecule: long non-coding RNA, 630 nt
Organism: Malaya genurostris
Lineage: Eukaryota; Metazoa; Arthropoda; Insecta; Diptera; Culicidae
Exons: 3
Source: RefSeq, a predicted model, not a curated record
CUAAAACGGAUUGCUGGGGAUACGUUUGUUUCAGUUUCAUUUACAUUAUAGACCACCCAUAUGAAUCUUGCAGCUGCUGAAUUUGCUCUAACCUUUAAAUGCAUCAAAAUUAUGGCACCGGCGUGCUGUAGAGCGUCAGGUAACUGUCGUGCUUCUUAUUGUGCUAUCUUUUUCAUUCUUUUACCAAAUUUGACAGCUCUAUUCGCGACUACGAAGUUGAGUUUGACAGCUUAUGUGUGUGAAGUGGAAGUAAGCAAAAGCAAAAAGUAAUAAAUUUUCAAACAUGCCGUUUUCUUAGAUUUUAGUUUUGCUGUUUGAAAUGGUAAAUACCAGUGUUUCUUGAAAUCUUUCAAGAUGCUAAUUCAGUUAAUGAAUAUAAAAUAAUCGCUUUGAGCGGUGUCUAUUUUAUCGUGUAAAAUACAAGUGAUCGGAGCCUUCAAAAGGUGAUACGUGCACUGUGUUGAUGAACUUUUCGGAUGUUUUUCAACUACGCUGCCGGAGGAAGUUGCUCGAAUAGUUGGAUAAUCCUCUUCAACUAUUGAGCCACACGCAGUAAAUGUUUGAACUGGAAGUGUCCUUUCUGUAUGGUUAUUUUCAUGUACUUGCAAAGCCAGUAAAUAAAAAUGAAAU